Molecule: ribosomal RNA, 450 nt
Filed under: uncultured bacterium
Lineage: Bacteria
Description: partial 16S ribosomal RNA
Rfam family: Bacterial small subunit ribosomal RNA
Source: RNAcentral
GUGGGGAAUAUUGGACAAUGGGCGAAAGCCUGAUCCAGCCAUGCCGCGUGUGUGAAAAAGGUCUUCGGAUUGUAAAGCACUUUAAGUUGGGAGGAAGGGCAGUAAGUUAAUACCUUGCUGUUUUGACGUUACCGACAGAAUAAGCACCGGCUAACUUCGUGCCAGCAGCCGCGGUAAUACGAAGGGUGUAAGCGUUAAUCGGAAUUACUGGGCGUAAAGCGCGCGUAGGUGGUUUUGUAAGUUGGAGGUGAAAUCCCCGGGCUCAACCUGGGAACUGCCUCCAAAACUGCAUGACUAGAGUACGGUAGAGGGUAGUGGAAUUUCCUGUGUAGCGGUGAAAUGCGUAGAUAUAGGAAGGAACACCAGUGGCGAAGGCGACUACCUGGACUGAUACUGACACUGAGGUGCGAAAGCGUGGGGAGCAAACAGGAUUAGAUACCCGAGUAGUCC